UGGGGAAUUUUGGACAAUGGGCGAAAGCCUGAUCCAGCAAUGCCGCGUGUGCGAAGAAGGCCUUCGGGUUGUAAAGCACUUUUGUCCGGAAAGAAAUCCUUGGCUCUAAUACAGUCGGGGGAUGACGGUACCGGAAGAAUAAGCACCGGCUAACUACGUGCCAGCAGCCGCGGUAAUACGUAGGGUGCAAGCGUUAAUCGGAAUUACUGGGCGUAAAGCGUGCGCAGGCGGUUUGCUAAGACCGAUGUGAAAUCCCCGGGCUCAACCUGGGAACUGCAUUGGUGACUGGCAGGCUAGAGUAUGGCAGAGGGGGGUAGAAUUCCACGUGUAGCAGUGAAAUGCGUAGAGAUGUGGAGGAAUACCGAUGGCGAAGGCAGCCCCCUGGGCCAAUACUGACGCUCAUGCACGAAAGCGUGGGGAGCAAACAGGAUUAGAUACCCUGAUAGUCCACGCCCUAAACGAUGUCAACUAGUUGUUGGGGAUUCAUUUCCUUAGUAACGUAGCUAACGCGUGAAGUUGACCGCCUGGGGAGUACGGUCGCAAGAUUAAAACUCAAAUGAAUUG
Molecule: ribosomal RNA, 564 nt
Filed under: uncultured bacterium
Lineage: Bacteria
Description: partial 16S ribosomal RNA
Rfam family: Bacterial small subunit ribosomal RNA
Source: RNAcentral